Hucho hucho (huchen) is the source of this 147-nucleotide small nucleolar RNA. The record is from Ensembl. Lineage: Eukaryota; Metazoa; Chordata; Actinopteri; Salmoniformes; Salmonidae.
CUUGCACACCGUUAGAGCCCGGCGCAGUCCUGUCAGUGCAGUGCUGGGUGUAGGAUGUGUGCUACAGAAACGCAGUGCCUUUUUUCUCCCCUUGCUCCAGCCAUGUGUAAGAGGGAGGGGGAAUAAGGUAUAGGCCUUGCUACAUAU